GGCAGGUUUAUGGCAAGCACGUGUUCGGCUGUUAUGGCUGCCAAAAGGGAAGCUGGUUCCUUCAGACAGGAAGGCCCAGAGUGAUCUGAUACAGUGCCCACUUUUAGGCCAACCGGGAAGAAAAGAGAGGAGUGGGAGGAAAUCCAGAAUAUGAGAUGCCAACCGCCAGAAGAGUUUCAGGGGCUUCAUGAGCUCAAACCACAUUCAAGUGGGUUGUGUAGUGGGAAAACGGUGGAGCAAUGCAGACAUCCACUGCAGACUGUUCUGGGAGGAAGCUGGUAUGUGCAGAGCACGGUAAGGGCAGCACCUGGAAAGGGUCUCGUGUUUAAGAAUAGUCUUUAGUUUUUCUUGGGAGGGAUGCCUGGUAUGUUUCAGUGAUGAUGGGAAUGAGCCAGGAGAGAGGGAAAAGCAGAAUAUGCAGGGGAGAGAAGGACUCCCCAAAUGUUAGGUAGUGAGAAGGCCAAAGAGAAUGGGGUAUAGGAGCCUUGGAGAAGAGUGGGCCACUUCUCCCAUCAGAAGAGGUGAGGGCCUGUGGGAAAGUCAAGGUAAAUGCUCCCUGAUGGCACUUGUGUUCUCAGCUACGCAGAAAACCUGGAGCAGAGAUAGGCUGAAGGUUUACAGAAAGAAUCUGAAAUUGUUCCUAUAGAGAGUAUGCAGCUGAUGGAGGAAAUAGAAGCUUGAUAGGCUGUACUGUGUGAAAGCUUCAGGCUUUAAUGUUGAUCGGCAAUAUCUCUGAUUUCUUUCACUUGUUGGGUGCAUCUCCCAUAGGUCAGGUGUAGGGGAAGCUGUAGCCACGCCUUCUUAGGGGCUGGCUACAGGAGUACCUGAGGGUUUGUGAGGGCGUGGUCAGAGUGAGUAGGGGGACUGCGUUUUCGGUUUCGGUUUCUCUUUGCUUCUUGCUGUACAGACUACCACCGGCUGGCUGGUUCGCUCUGUAAGUAAGGCUUUUCCCUAUUAAAUACCCUUAUAUUUCUACCUGACUCCGUAUUGGUAAUUUCCUACUAUAGUCAGGUCUAGCACCCUGCUCCGGGAGUGGUGUGUUUUGUUUUGGACUGCUGGGUCCUCCUUGGUAUAGGAGCUGCUGAGAUCCUUAUCAGACUCCUGUGUCUUUUGGGCAUGGCCCUGGCACCACUUCCCGGAUGAUGAGCUUUGGGAAAGUGGAUUUUGACAUUUUUGUUUGCCUCACCCAUGGGGAAUGCAUAAGGAACCUUUCUGGUUGCAGCCAACAAGUGGGUAAACAGACAAAAAAGGGGCUUAUAGUUGCCACCAUCUUGGCCAUAUGGACUGACAUGGGGGUCGCCAUCUUGGUCAUGGGACCUACCUGUAGGCACACCCACUCCAACAGCCUUUGCCAGUAAACCUGGCUGCUGGACUUUUGCUUUCUGUCAGAUUCUUUUUUGCUUUUUAUUUUUUUUGUCUGUGAUUUCUUCUUUCACUGGCUCUGUUGCUCAUGGCUUGUUUACAGAAUACUGUGUCUUUCCAGGUCCCUCUGUUUAAGUCUACUCUGUCCCUUUAAAUCUCUUGUCUGUUUGCUACCAUGUACGGAUCAGAGAUUGCAUUCUGGUUCCCCCUUUACUGCUAUCCAGUCCUGCUUGUCUCUGUACAUGUAAUUUAAAUUUAACUUUAUACUUAUCUAACCCUAUAUACAACUUAAAUUAAACUGUGCUAAGUGUCAUAUUUCUAAAUUGCUAUGUAUCUUUAAAUGAUGGUGAAGACUUAAAGUCAUAAAGGUCUAAUUUAACUAUACUUAAAAUAUAAGCUAAGUAGCCAUAGAGAGGCAGGGAGAGCGUGUAGGUGAGAGACAGAGUAGAGAGGAAGCAGAGAGAGGAGUUGGAGCUUUUAAAGGGAAGACUGUGCAUGCGCACUGAGGUUCCACGCAUGUCCAGAGUCAUCACGGGUGACGGGGCAAUGACGUAGCACGUUUUCUUGUGCAUGACCUGAGUAUUGUCAGGGGGCAGGGUCUGUCUCUUAAAGAGUUAGAGCUGAUCAGCAUCAAAAGCCUGAACCUUUCAUUCCCACCUCUACUUAUUAUUUAAAAAAAGGUGGGGUGUUAGACAUGGCAGGGUAAGGAAUAAGGGCGUCGAAUUCUCAAGACUGCUUCCUGCUGAUGUGGGGGGCGUUGACCAUCUUUGGGGGACCUGAGAAGGUUGGGGUGCUGCCAUGUCCUGGGUUAUUUGGUUGUUUCAUCGCAGUCCAGGCUGUAUGGAACUCCCUGGCGCUUCUUAGACCUGGCAAGAUGUUGACAGAGCAGAGGACAAGGUUAAAUUUAGAAAAAAAAUUGUUUUCUUAGGUCCUGUCACUUGAGGGGAAGAUUGUAAGAUGAGGGAGGGGUUCCCGAGGAAUCCCAACAAGAGGAAGGGAGUCCUGGGACCAGGGAAAGAUUGAAUAACUGGAGUGAAUCUGACCUGUUUGUCUGGAUCCAAUUCAGCUUCCUGGAACUUACAAGAAUCCUUAGUUUGUGGAAACAUAAGUAUUAGACACAUUAGCAGCAUAUUCAUGUUAGAAGCAACUUGGCUGAAAGCAUUAACAUUUUAAAAUUGACAGAUUUUUUUUUAGGAUAAUGAAAAGUAUCUUAAUCUUGAUCUUGUAGUUAUGAUUGUAUAGUGGUAUUGUGGAACUUUACUAUGAACAGUAGGAUGAGAAAUAGAGAAAUCAGGAACAUAUUUCAUUCUUUUUAAUGUCUCAACUCACUUUAUCAUCACUUAAGCCUUUUUAACCCCAGACCUUCAUAACUUUAAUUCAUACACUUUACAUUACCAUCUUAGACAUUCCAUUCUCAGACCUUCAUAACUUGCAUUUAUCCACCGUGUUAGACCUUCCAUCCUCAGACAUUCAUUAACUACAUUCUCAGACCUUCAUACAUCUACACUUUCCUAUCUUCACAUAGAUAAAACCCUAAAAUACCUGUUCCUAGAAUCUGUUUUGCUUUAAGCUGGCAAGACUACCAGUCGUCAAAAGCAUCUGAGUUCUUGAGAAGGAUAAAAUUUUACCUGAAUCAAUGAUUAAAGAAUAACAGAGACUUGCCAGCAGGCUGCAUGGACAGCCAUCCCCAAGGUCCUCCAUCCAUAGUAUCGGGCUGCAGGACACCUGCCUUCUUGCUGAUAGCAUGUGACCUGUGCAUUACAGACUAUAGGAAGACUCGCCUACUGUUGGCCCAAGCAACUCGGGGAAAGUCGAUUUCACUGUCCUCUUGUCCACGGUCUGGAGUACUUUGUAGCAGUUGAGGUGAAGGGCAGGGUUGCUCAGUGACUAGUGUUGUCACUGACUUGAGAUGAAGUUUCUUCAGUGCCCAUCAGUCUUCAUGGAGGAAAUGGUGUGGAGCCAGCAGCUGGCCUAUCUCUCUGUUAUAAAAAGCCUUUUAACAAAACAUUUUAAAUGCCAUAUUCUCUAGAUCUCUGAGCAUAUGAGGGCUGUCUGUUUAGUAUCUCAGCAGUUAGGUUUGCCUUUAGUUAGAGAAAAAUGCCUUUUUGUAAUAAAAGCUGUACCUUUGUAAACGGCUUACAGGAUAGACUGAGUGGUAUAAAUAUUUUGUUAGUUUGAAAUAGACCUUUAUGAUUUUAAACUUUCAUCAUUUAAAGAUACACAAGUUAAAUUUAAGUUGUAUGGACUUAGCUUAUAUUUUAAGUAUAGUUAAAUUAGACCUUUAUGACUUUAAAUAUUUACCAUCAUUUCAAGAUACAUAGCAAUUUAGAAAUAUGAGACUUAGUACAGUUUAAUUUAAGUUGCAUAUAGAGCUAGAUAAGUAUACAGUUAAAUUACAGGUGUAGAGACAAGCAGGACUGGAUAACAGUAAAGGGGGAACCAGAAUGCAAUCUCUGAUCCGUACAUUGUAGCAAAUAGACAGGAGAUUUAAAGGGACAGAGUAGACUUAAACAGAGGGACCUGGAAAGGCACAGUAUUUAGUAAACAAGCCAUGAACAACAGAGCCAUUGAAAGAAGAAAUCACAGACCAAAAAUAAAAUAAAAUAAAAAGCAAAAAGAUCUGGCAAAAGUCAAAAAUCCAGCAGACAGGUUUGGUGGCAUAGGCCGCUGGAGUGGGCGUGCCUACAGGUAGGUCACAUGAACAAGAUGGCGGCGACCAUAAGCCACUGUUUUGUCUGUUUAUCUGCUUGUUGGCUGCAACCAGAAAGGUUCCUCUAUGCAUUUCCCAUGGGUGAGGCAAGUGGAAAACUGGCAAAAAGCUCCUCUACAGAUGCACGUCUGCCCGUGGGAGUUGCCAGGGGCCUGGCCCCGAAGGGGACACAGCUGUCCCCGAAACCGAAAAAGGACCCAGUAGUCCAAACUGAAAAAGCAAAAAGCACCGCUCCUGGAGCGGGAUCCCAUGCCUGACCCUCAGGAAAUGAACUCAAGUGAAAGAAGAAAUAAAAAGCAAGAUGUCUGGUGGCAGUGCUUGCCUAUGCAAGUCACUGAACUGAGUGGGCAGGCCUAAGCUAGGUCACCUGGUUAGGAUGGCACAUGACCAAGAUGGCGGCCCCCAGGUUAGCGCACAUGGCUGAGAUGGCGAACCCCUUAAGCACAUUCUCAAUUGCCGGAAGAAGUUUUUUCUCCAUGAGUGAGGCAGUAACAAACAAACAAACAAAACUCUCAGAGCGUCUCAAGCAGACACUGCCAAGAAGAAACACAGUCAGAGAUAGACAAAAAGAUGAGGGACAUUCCCAGGUGAAAGAAAACUCCGCUCAUUUACCUACUCGCUGGCAGUAACUGAAAGAUCCCAUAAAAUGUAUUUCCCGUGGGCAAGGCCAAAAAUGGCACAGAUUGUUCUUUUUGAGAGCACCAGGCAGAAAGCCCAAAAGAGGCUCAGCAGUCCGAAACCGAAAAAAAUGUACCCAGAGUGAACUCCAAAAUGCAGUGCUGGGUCUGCCCCAUGGGAAAAGUUAUGGGUAUCUUACCGGAUUGUAGCGAACAGGCAGAUGAGUGAGUUCCAGAGAUCCUUAGUUGGAAAAGCGGCGAGUUGAAGUGUACAGAGUUCUGGCAUCUCAGGCUGCUGCAGGCAGGAGGAAGUGCCAGGAAAAGCCGAGAUGGAAGUGGGUUAUGAGUUCAGAUUUUAGUAUCCCCGGAAUUUCCUGUGCACCUGACAGGAGAAGUUAGAAAGCCUAUUGUUAGACCCCCAGAAAACUCAGGCCUCCGGGGUCUUAGCCCAGGACCUCGGUCACCCCAAUCACCAGGUGGACUCGAAAGCUUGCUGCAAACUGCAUGAGGCUUUAUUGUAGUUUAACCCCAUGUGAGCUCGGGUCUUUCACCCACCGGCCAUGGCGGAUGGCUAGCAAAGACAGCUCGAACCGGCUGCCGAGAGAUUUUGUAGGGCAGCAUAGGGGAGUGUCUAGGGGUACGCACAGGCUCAGGAUUGGUGUGCCACCAGGCUUGGAGGGCUUGCCCUGUAUUGAUUGGUCAACUGGUUGUUAUGGCCCAUAGGCCCUUCCAGGGUGGUUGCUAUGCUCUGUGCAUCAUUGCUGUGCACUUGUCUGUAAAGCACACCCAGAG
RNAcentral lists this long non-coding RNA (5481 nucleotides) under Cricetulus griseus (Chinese hamster). Its description in RNAcentral is "lncRNA (ENSCGRG00015036165.1)". The record is from RNAcentral. Lineage: Eukaryota; Metazoa; Chordata; Mammalia; Rodentia; Cricetidae.